Molecule: unclassified non-coding RNA, 489 nt
Filed under: Hevea brasiliensis (rubber tree)
Lineage: Eukaryota; Viridiplantae; Streptophyta; Magnoliopsida; Malpighiales; Euphorbiaceae
Source: RNAcentral
UUCCGGUAUUGGCCCUUCUUUCGGCUUUACCGACGUCCCUCCCUGACGCUUAAAGAUCGCUGAUAGUAUAGGUUUCGCCGGCGACGGCGGUGGAAAUGGCCACUUGAAUUUCCUUCUCGGCGUUCCAACCGGAGAUGGCGAUGGAGCUAUUCCAGCAGGAUACGGGCUCUGAAACGGACUGGCUGUAAAUGAGUGAGCUGGCGUACUGUUGUUGGUGUAACUCAUCCCAUUCCCGACUGAUUGACGUACCGGUGAAGGUGGUGGUUUAGGGCGAUUGUUGGUAGAUACCGCAGAGUUUCCAUCUCCGAUAGCAACAACGCUACCACCAUUUUCACCAGAAACACCCUUACUGCAACACUGCCCCAUCGAGAAAAACUCCGAUCACCGCCAGUCAAAGUCCACUCAUGCGACGGUCAACAAAACCAAAAAGUAGAAAACAAUCACCGGAGAAACGCGUCUUCAAUAGAAAAUGAAAAAUCUACACCCCAG